CGCCAUGGGCGCAGCCUGAUCCAGCCAUACCGCGUGGGUGAAGAAGGCCUUCGGGUUGUAAAGCCCUUUUGUUGGGAAAGAAAUCCAGCCGGCUAAUACCUGGUUGGGAUGACGGUACCCAAAGAAUAAGCACCGGCUAACUUCGUGCCAGCAGCCGCGGUAAUACGAAGGGUGCAAGCGUUACUCGGAAUUACUGGGCGUAAAGCGUGCGUAGGUGGUUGUUUAAGUCUGUUGUGAAAGCCCUGGGCUCAACCUGGGAACUGCAGUGGAAACUGGACAACUAGAGUGUGGUAGAGGGUAGCGGAAUUCCCGGUGUAGCAGUGAAAUGCGUAGAGAUCGGGAGGAACAUCCAUGGCGAAGGCAGCUACCUGGACCAACACUGACACUGAGGCACGAAAGCGUGGGGAGCAAACAGGAUUAGAUACCCUGGUAGUCCACGCCCUAAACGAUGCGAACUGGAUGUUGGGUGCAAUUUGGCACGCAGUAUCGAAGCUAACGCGUUAAGUUCGCCGCCUGGGGAGUACGGUCGCAAGACUGAAACUCAAAUGAAAUUGACGGA
RNAcentral lists this ribosomal RNA (559 nucleotides) under Stenotrophomonas pavanii. RNAcentral's name for it is "bacterial SSU rRNA". It matches the Rfam family "Bacterial small subunit ribosomal RNA", at positions 367 to 917 of the family's 1533-position model. Lineage: Bacteria; Pseudomonadati; Pseudomonadota; Gammaproteobacteria; Lysobacterales; Lysobacteraceae. The record is from RNAcentral.